Molecule: non-coding RNA, 117 nt
Filed under: Chlorocebus sabaeus (green monkey)
Lineage: Eukaryota; Metazoa; Chordata; Mammalia; Primates; Cercopithecidae
Source: Rfam by way of RNAcentral
GCCGGGCGAGGUGGCUCACGCCUGUAAUCCCAGCACUUUGGGAGGCCGAGGCAGGUGGAUCACCUGAGGUCAGGAGUUCAAGACCAGCCUGACCAACAUGGAGAAACCCUGUCUCUA